This is a long non-coding RNA of Saccostrea cuccullata (small rock oyster), 885 nucleotides long. RefSeq lists it as uncharacterized. NCBI's taxonomy places the organism in Eukaryota, Metazoa, Mollusca, Bivalvia, Ostreida, Ostreidae. The transcript has 2 exons. The record is from RefSeq and is a predicted model, not a curated record.
UCCGAAAGGCUUCAGCAGGAACUUCAGCCAAGACUAAGUCCACACUUUUCAUCAAAGUCGAAUUGCCAAAUCUUGUCUCGGAUGAAGGGAUUAGAGAAGAUCUACGCACCUUGACCUACGUAAGAAAAUGUGUAGAGCUGUGUUGGUAUAUGUGUAUGCAGGAUCCGCCUAUGGUUAUCAUCAGCCCCGAGAGAGGACAAGAAAUCGACAAGGGGUUGUUUUCCCUCCAUGGCCGCCGCGGGAAGACUGUGGAAGUCUGUGUGUGGCCUGCUCUUCUGCUUCACGAUGGCGGGCCGCUGGUGUGUAAGGGAUACGUCCUACCAGAGGAGAGGAAACGAAAGAAAUAAGAAAGAAAUCCUAUUUUAUGAGUGUAUUUUCAUUAAUGUUUGGAAUUAAUUAUGACUGUUAGGUAAUAGCAUUUUAUGACUGAUCAUAAAGAUGAACAAUAAACAUAUCGCUUUAAGAGUGAAUACCUAUUAUUAUGUAUAUAUUGAAUGUUAUAAUUCUGUUGAAUUUGUACAAUGAUUACAAAAAGAAUUGAAUUUAAAAAAAACAAAUGCUUUUUAAUAAAAAUUAAAUGCUUAUUCAUAUAUAUUACUAACUUCUUAGAAAAUUUUGCAUAUGCGUUUGAGCAAUUUUUUUUCUCACUUUGCAUGAAUGUUUGUUUCUCUCUAAACGUUGAUCGUUAAUAUAAGUGAACAUGAAAAAAUGUUUAGAAAUUUUUUUUUUAUAAAUCUGAUGAAAUACUUUUUUCAUAAAGUGCCAUAUUUUAAAAACAAAAGAUAACUGAUGUUAUCGUGACCAAUAAAUUUCAUUUUGAAACACUGUUUAUUUAAAUUAUUUGAAGUAAAAGAAGAUCAUAAUGAGACUUCGUACAUCCAGGAA